Molecule: ribosomal RNA, 920 nt
Filed under: uncultured bacterium
Lineage: Bacteria
Description: bacterial SSU rRNA
Rfam family: Bacterial small subunit ribosomal RNA
Source: RNAcentral
GCAGCGCGGGGCAACCUGGCGGCGAGUGGCGAACGGGUGAGUAAUAUAUCGGAACGUGCCCUGGAGUGGGGGAUAACGCAGCGAAAGUUGCGCUAAUACCGCAUACGAUCUAAGGAUGAAAGCGGGGGAUUCGCAAGAACCUCGUGCUCCUGGAGCGGCCGAUAUCUGAUUAGCUAGUUGGUGGGGUAAAGGCCUACCAAGGCAUCGAUCAGUAGCUGGUCUGAGAGGACGACCAGCCACACUGGAACUGAGACACGGUCCAGACUCCUACGGGAGGCAGCAGUGGGGAAUUUUGGACAAUGGGCGAAAGCCUGAUCCAGCAAUGCCGCGUGAGUGAAGAAGGCCUUCGGGUUGUAAAGCUCUUUUGUCAGGGAAGAAACGGUGAAGGCUAAUAUCCUUUGCUAAUGACGGUACCUGAAGAAUAAGCACCGGCUAACUACGUGCCAGCAGCCGCGGUAAUACGUAGGGUGCAAGCGUUAAUCGGAAUUACUGGGCGUAAAGCGUGCGCAGGCGGUUUUGUAAGUCUGUCGUGAAAUCCCCGGGCUCAACCUGGGAAUUGCGAUGGAGACUGCAAGGCUAGAAUCUGGCAGAGGGGGGUAGAAUUCCACGUGUAGCAGUGAAAUGCGUAGAGAUGUGGAGGAACACCGAUGGCGAANGCAGCCCCCUGGGUCAAGAUUGACGCUCAUGCACGAAAGCGUGGGGAGCAAACAGGAUUAGAUACCCUGGUAGUCCACGCCCUAAACGAUGUCUACUAGUUGUCGGGUUUUAAUUAACUUGGUAACGCAGCUAACGCGUGAAGUAGACCGCCUGGGGANUACGGUCGCAAGAUUAAAACUCAAAGGAAUUGACGGGGACCCGCACAAGCGGNGGAUGAUGNNGAUUAAUUCGAUGCAACGCGAAAAACCUUACCUACCCUNGAC